Molecule: long non-coding RNA, 5122 nt
Filed under: Sus scrofa (pig)
Lineage: Eukaryota; Metazoa; Chordata; Mammalia; Artiodactyla; Suidae
Description: lncRNA (ENSSSCG00015003895.1)
Source: RNAcentral
GCUUCCCAGGGCCGUACUCACAGCAUAUGGAAGUUCCCAGGCUAGGGGUUGAAUUGGAACUGGAGCUUCCGGCCUACAUCACAGCCACAGCAACGCCAGAUCUGAGCCACAUCUACAACCUACACUGCGGCUCACAGCAAUGCUGGAUCCUUAACCCACUGAGUGAGGCCAGGGAUUGAACCUGCAUCUUCAUGGAUACUAGUUGGAUUCGUUGCCACUGUGCCACAAUGGGAACCACUCUUUAUUUCAGAUCAUUACACUGUGGCUCACACUGUCCAAUCAGUCACUCACAUGACCACACAGCCAACAGGAAGAGUAUGUUUUAGUGACAGAGAUGUACUCCAACUGCUCUCCUCUGAAAAGAGGCGAGGCAUUGCUGAUGUCUUAAUCCAGGGAUAAAAAGCAGCUCCACACACUAAAUUUUCAAGACUCAAACCAGAAAAAGCCAGCACUCAAGGUUCUUGAUAAUAAUUUGACCUCGACACAAAGCAAUUACUAACACAAACCUUGCAUCACUGCAGAAACUCAAAUACUAGACUCUGUGUUAGCUCCAGGUCACAGGGAACCCCAGAUUUGCAUUUCCCAUCAUACUGAGCUGCUCCAGGGGGAACUGUAGGAGAGGCUGCACCUGCAUGCAAUGUGGGGCAGUGGACCACAUGCCUAAGGAGAGGAGUCCAGGGGGAAAGAAAAUAAGUGAAAGGAACAAGGCAAAAGUAGUCCUCCUCAGAGCUGAGAGUCCUAAAUCAGGUCCCCAUUGUGGCAUAACUUGGAGUAUCCACAGUACCAAACUCUCUGGGAGAAGCUGGAGAUGGGCAGUUCCAGUGGGACCAGGCAAUUGUCAAUGAAUGCCAGGCAGUGAGCAGGGAUGGAGCUAAACAUCCCAUUUGGGCAGGACAAAUGACAAAACUGGGUUCCAGUCUCCCAUGACUGGGAGAUUUCAGGAAGAGACUGAAAAUCAGGGUCAUCUGUCCUCAGGACUUAUUGGUAAAAUAUCCCUCUUUGCUGGCACUCUUGAAGGACAUGAAGAAACCCACCAAGUCUUUAGGAAGAUGCCGAUCUACGGACCAAAACCAAACCAAACUGUAAUGCCUUCAGCACCCCAGCAGUGGUUACCUUUACAGCAGGCUCCUCCCCGCUGGCUGCCAGCUAACAGCAGUCCACUUUACUGCCUAAGACUUAUGAAUUCAUCUAAACAACCACAGCAAAUUCCUGGCCAGAGCAGAGACCAGCAAAAUGUUUCUAAAAUCAUCUCUAAUUUACUCCCUAUGAUUUUAAUCCACCCAUUCAGCAGUUUCCAUUCAACUAAAAACGUACGAAUAUUUAGUAAAUAUUUAUUUAGCACCUACUCAAAGCCAGGCAUGUCCCAAACACUAAGGCUAUGUUAGUCAUCAAACAGGCAGUCACUGCUCUUGUAGGAUUUAUGUGAUAGUAAGAAGAAAUCCGAAUCCACCUCUGCUUCAUUCACAACCUAAUGAAGAAAACACGACUCUUCUCCUUCCUUCACACAAUUGACUAUCUCACAAAAAGGGAUACACACAUACUGAAUAUUUUACGAAGGCCCAUUAUGGGACAGAGCAGGUGGCACAAAGAUGAAUAAGGUAUGAGCCACAGUCUAGUGGGAAAGAUCAUAUAUUCACAAAAGAUUCCAGUAUAGGCAGGCGUUAGGGGUUUAAUUGAGUCCCCAGCCAUAAGCAGACAUGCUGGUGUUCUAACAUGACUUUAUUUGGAAUUAGGGCUAUUACAAACAUAAAAAGUUAAGAUGUGAUCAUACUGGAGUGCAGUGGACUCUUAAUUCAAUAUGCUUGGUGUCCUUAUAGGAAAACAGCCCUAUGAAGAUAGAGACAGGAAGAAUACCUCAUGACUACAAAGGUAGAGAUUGGAGUUAGGCAACCACAAGCCACAGAACAUCAAAAACUGCUAGCAAACCCCCAGAAGCUAGGUUUCAGAGUGAGCUUGGCCCUGUCACACCUUAUUUCAGGCUUCUACCCUCCAGAACUGUGAGACAAUCCAUUUCUGUUGCUCUAAUCCAUCAUGUUUGUGGUUCUUUGUUACCGGGGCCCUCAGAAACUCAUCCACCAGGUAAGUGUUAUAAUAUAGCCAAGAACAGACUCUGACAGAAACAGAGGAGGAAAUAACUUCACGGUCCUGUGGUGGAUGGGGAAGGCCUUCCACAGGAGAUGCCAUUUUCACUGUGCCUUGGAAUAGAAAUAGGACUUUGGCCAGACACAUCUGAGAAGUCAAGACACGAAGGUCCUUCUGGGCUGUGCCAGGAAUGAAAAGACAUGACCUCUUGUGCGCUACCAAAUAUAUAGCAUUUAGGAUGCCCCGGACCCUCUCCUAAGCCAUGUACAGAGGAUGCAUGGAGGAAAAGGAAGCCUGGCAAGAAUGUAAAUGGUAGACAAUGCUCUUGGAAAGUAAAGUUAGACCCAAAUUAUGCUGGCACAGUAAGUCAUAGGAAAACUUUAAUUAUAAGCAGAUGAACAAUAUGAUCAUGUUUAAAUUUUUUGGUAGGCUAUCUUUGGCAACAGGGUGCUGAAUAUACUUGAGGAACGAGGACCAGUUAACACACUUCUCAAACUGAUCAGGAAGAAGUCGACUAAAGUGGGUGUGAUAUUGUGAUAUAAUAAGAAAUACAUAUUUUGGUCUUUGUUCCAGUUCCUGGCACAGAGCUUCGAAAGCCCUUGGAAUUUCCUGAGUCACUGGGGUGAGGACAAUGUCUUCUGUUAUUCAUAAUAAGACUCUUUUGACCCUACCUGAGUUUAUGCUAAGGAGGAGCCUCUUGGAGAGUAGAGGCUGGUAUCAAGCCAGUGGGAAGAGGGGGAAAGCAGAAUUAUAAAGAGGCAGGAACAGAUGACUGAUGGAUACAGAGGGUGGAGGAAGCAUGGGAAAAAAAAAAAAAAAGUUAAGAUUAGCCAAGGGCACAAACUCUGUCACAACGCCGAGUUCAAAUUUUGUCCCAGCUGUCUGACCCCGGACAAGUUAUUUAGCCUUCCUUAUCAGUGUCCUUAGAACGCCCGGCCCGGACAUGGUAAGUGCUUCAUCUGCAUUCGCUAUAGUAGCAGCAACAUGUACACAGGGAAUUCUUGAGCCAGGAAAAUGAGAUUAGGAGAACAUUUCCAAAAUCAAGACGUUUUCUGAGAGCAAAGACCCACAGGUCAGGAAGGGCAAGUUAGAUAGGAGUAAACUAAAGGUGCGUGAGGUGGUGGCCUGACUGGGAACUGUGAUCACGGCCAUGUCUGGAGACAGAGGACCACAAAAGCCUUUCAAGACCACACCUCUGAACCUAUGUCAGGGUCAACAGAGUUUGGGGAAGCUGAGCCUUCCAAUCAAGGUGCUGGGUGGGUGCGGUGGCUACCUGGCACCCACCUAUUUCCUGGAAGAAUCCAGGAAUUAGGAUUGGGGUUUGGGACUUAAAUCAAGAGGCUUUGACUUCUCCUGGCCAGGAAGUGGGUACCAAGUCCAGACCAGAGAGACCCUCCCUCUCUGGGAUUGAACAGGGAAGGAGUGAUGAAAAGACCAACUAAGGCUUUAUUCUGUGAGCUCUUCUACAUUGUUCCAUUAAUUAUCCCUUGAUUUAAAUUAAUCAGGCAUUCCCAUCAUGGUGCAGCAGAAAUGAAUCUGACUAGUAUCCAUGAGGACGAAGGUUUGAUCCCUGGCCCGGUUCAGCGGGUUAAGGAUCUGGCCUUGCUGUGAGCUGUGGUGUAGGUCACAGAUGCAGCUUGGAUCUGGUGUUGCUGUGGCUGUGGCAUAGGCUGGUGGCUAUAGCUCUGAUUCAACCCCUAGUCUGGGAACCUCCAUAUGCCAUGGGUGUGGCCCUAAAAAGACAAAAAUAAUUAAUUAAUCGGAGCCAAUGUCAGUGGCUGACCACCAAAGAUCACUAACACCCUAUUUCAACUUCAACAAAUGGGUCUCCCUGACCACCUCUUUUCAGAAGAAAGGCACUAACAAGAAAACAGCACCAAGUUGGAAGAUGCUGCCCACAGCCUGGCAACCAAAAAUCACAACCCUUAUCUACCAUGGGUAGGAUGCCAGAACAGGCUCUUUCUUCUUUCCCUUAGAGAAACCUGAGCCUUGCCAUCCAUCCUGUGUUUCAGAGUGGGUGAUAUAUGACAAAGAAGUUAUCACAUGACCUAGAUUUCCUACAUCAAUCAUUUCACUAAUCCCCCUUUUUUUAGCUUUACCGACACCAAGAAAGGGGUGCUGUUUCCAGAAAUGAGUUCUUCCUUCUGCACACAGUUCUACCCUAGGAGAACCAAUGACUGAUUUCCCUCAUCAGCACCUCAUUGAUGCAUUGAUGUUAAGAAUAAAGGACGCUUCAGAUCAGAUCAGCCCAGGUCUCUGCCCUGAGCCCAAUUGUUCCCCAAGGCUUUGUUCAGCAGGGACUCUUGACUUCUAACCAAUGGGCCCUCUGGCACCGCCUCAGGCAGAUAUCAUUCUAAAGUCAAAUCUUGAUCUCCACCAGAUUCAGUGUUCUGAUUCUUUCAAGUUCUCUUUCUAGGGUCCUGGUUGCAAUAUUCCUGUCCCUAUAUCUGAGAUUAGACAUUCUUUCCCUUGCUGAUGCUUUGUACCUUUCAAAUGUAUUCACUCAACCAGUCCAUACUGAGUGCUUUCCAUGUGUUAGAACCAAAUGUUGGCAGAUUGUUCUAACCCUGGGGAGGGGAGUGAACAUUAUUUGUUUUGAAUCCCGUGCCUAGCUGAGCACCUGGCACAUGAAAAGAGGCCCAGAAAGGUUUUCUUAUCAAAGGAAAAGUUUGCUUCACUAGCAGCUACGUGACUAGUAGAUUUCAGUGGCUUAUCACAGGACCCCAUCUGACCCUCAACUAUUAAGGUAUAUGGAGCAUCUGGGAAUCCAGAGUCGUUACUGCCUGACCCCAAAUCCUAGCUCCUUCCCUCUGACUAUGUGACCACAGGCUAACAGAUGCACUUUUGAAAGCCUCAAUCUCAAAUGAGAUUAGUAAUACAUGCCUCACAAAAUCAUUCAAAGUCUUAAAGGAGAAAAUGCAUGAAAACUAUUUAACGGAACACCUGGCACACCGUAUUUAAUAAAUGUGAUUCUGACCGGUACAAAUCGCAAUAUCACAAAUUCUGGUGUGCAAGAAACAUAACUUUAUUUCCUAUGACU